RNAcentral lists this ribosomal RNA (696 nucleotides) under uncultured Bacteroidales bacterium. Its description in RNAcentral is "bacterial SSU rRNA". It matches the Rfam family "Bacterial small subunit ribosomal RNA", at positions 32 to 715 of the family's 1533-position model. Lineage: Bacteria; Pseudomonadati; Bacteroidota; Bacteroidia; Bacteroidales. The record is from RNAcentral.
AACGCUAGCUACAGGCUUAACACAUGCAAGUCCCGGGGAAACGAUAGAGAGAGCUUGCUUUUUCUAGGCGUCGACCGGCGCACGGGUGAGUAACGCGUAUCCAACCUGCCCACCACUUGGGGAUAACCUUGCGAAAGUAAGACUAAUACCCAAUGACGUCUCUAGAAGGCAUCUGAAAGGGAUUAAAGAUUUAUCGGUGAUGGAUGGGGAUGCGUCUGAUUAGCUUGUUGGCGGGGUAACGGCCCACCAAGGCUACGAUCAGUAGGGGUUCUGAGAGGAAGGUCCCCCACAUUGGAACUGAGACACGGUCCAAACUCCUACGGGAGGCAGCAGUGAGGUUUUUUGGUCAAUGGGCGAGAGCCUGAACCAGCCAAGUAGCGUGCAGGAUGACGGCCCUAUGGGUUGUAAACUGCUUUUAUAAGGGAAUAAAGUGAGCCUCGUGAGGCUUUUUGCAUGUACCUUAUGAAUAAGGACCGGCUAAUUCCGUGCCAGCAGCCGCGGUAAUACGGAAGGUCCGGGCGUUAUCCGGAUUUAUUGGGUUUAAAGGGAGCGUAGGCCGGAGAUUAAGCGUGUUGUGAAAUGUAGAUGCCCAACAUCUGCACUGCAGCGCGAACUGGUUUCCUUGAGUACGCACAAAGUGGGCGGAAUUCGUGGUGUAGCGGUGAAAUGCUUAGAUAUCACGAAGAACUCCGAUUG